GCGCCUCUCCCUCCACACCUCCCCACAAGCUGAGGGAGCCGGCUGCGGCCUUCGCCAGCCCAGAAAGGGGCUCCUACAGUGCAGUGGCGGGCUGAAGGGCUGCUCAAGCGCCGCCAAAGUGGGAGCCCAGGCAGAGGAGGCGCCCAGAGCGAGCGAGGGCUGUGAGGACUGCCAGCACGCUGUCACCUCUCACUCAUAUAGAUUGCCAAUCUAUUUGUGAACCAGGUUUGCUGGAGUUUGGAUUUACUACUGAGUCAUAUUUGGAGCAUGCUGGAAUCUUACAACUGAGAUUACCGAGUCAGAAACUGUUGUUUUUGUUGUAAGAACACUCAACAUGGCCGGGCACGGUGGCUCACACCUGUAAUCCCAGCACUUUGGGAGGCCGAGGCAGGUGGAUCACCUGAGGUCAGGAGUUCAAGACCAGCCUUACCAACAUGGUGAAACCCCAUCUCUACUAAAAACACAAAAAAGAGUUUGACUGUUCUCGUCGGCAUGGUUGAGACAUUAUCCCUGGCAGAAGGCUGGACUGGCAUGGACAUCAUUUGAUGAGUUCGUCUCCUCUUAACAAUCAAAGCCUGUUUUCCAGUGCGAAUAAACUGUUGCCUUAUAUAUUGUUUUCCCAUUUUUAUAGUUGUUUACUGCAAAAAAGAGUCUGGUACAAGUUACUUUGCUAAAACCUUGAUAAAGUUUUAUUCUACGAUUCUUCAAUCAAUGUUUCUGUUUUGUUUAUUCUGUUAUCUCUGUUGUGUCAUACCAUAAUUCUCUCAUUAAUAGCUCAUAUUCUUUUUCAUAGCUAUUCAAUUCUUUAGCAGUUUCUACUUUUAUGUUUGGGAGAAAAUUGAAAGCUUGAUUUCUUAUUUUGACAAGUUUUCUAAAGGUUUCAGCAUGCAAUAUUUUUUUUCAUAGCCUUACAGUUUGUAAUAGUUCAUCUGAUUGUAAAGCUCUUACAAUCUUUCCUGAUUUUAAGUCAUUUUAACAACGACUUUCUCUCUUUUUUAUUUUUAAGAAACAAUGUCCUCCUUUUCAUUUGUUGAGAACUCUACUCAGCUUUUAAAAAACUUCCUGUGUAUGUACCUUAAUUCUUUUGACAAUAAAACAUUACUC
RNAcentral lists this long non-coding RNA (1104 nucleotides) under Homo sapiens (human). RNAcentral's name for it is "HSALNT0350420". The record is from RNAcentral. Lineage: Eukaryota; Metazoa; Chordata; Mammalia; Primates; Hominidae.